This 407-nucleotide ribosomal RNA is filed under the name uncultured bacterium. RNAcentral's name for it is "partial 16S ribosomal RNA". It matches the Rfam family "Bacterial small subunit ribosomal RNA", at positions 28 to 526 of the family's 1533-position model. The record is from RNAcentral.
GACGAACGCUGGCGGCGUGCCUAAUACAUGCAAGUAGGACGCAGUUGCGAACGGGUGAGUCACGCGUAGGUAACUACCUAUUAGAGGGGGAUAACUAUUGGAAACGAUAGCUCAUACCGCAUACUAGUAGCUGGACCUGCGUUGUAUUAGCUAGUCUGUAGGGUAAUGGCCUACCUAGGCAACGAUACAUAGCCGACCUGGGAGGGUGAACGGGCAAACGUGGACUGAGACACGGCCCAGACUCCUACGGGAGGCAGCAGGAGGGAAUUGUCGGCAAUGGGGCGAAACCUGACCGAGCAACGCCGCGGGAGUGAAGAAGGUUUUCGGAGCGGAAAGCUCUGUUGUUAAGGAAGCGGUACUUAACGAGAAAGGGACGGCUAACUACGUGCCAGCAGCCGCGGUAAUAC